RNAcentral lists this long non-coding RNA (1085 nucleotides) under Gallus gallus (chicken). Its description in RNAcentral is "lncRNA (ENSGALG00010022849.1)". The record is from RNAcentral. Lineage: Eukaryota; Metazoa; Chordata; Aves; Galliformes; Phasianidae.
CGGGUGGACAACACCCCUGGAGCCACAGAGCUCGGUUUCCCCCCCAGCGGCAGGAGCAACUCUCAGCAGCCAGGCAGCGGGGCGGCACGGCCAAAGGCCGCAGUCGGGAUCCCAGCCCCGAUUCCAGGGAGGGCGCAAGCCCCACCCCACAUCUCACGGCCCCGCGCCUCUGAAAGGCCGGGGCCACAUUCCCACCUGAGUACAGGGGGUCUCUCAGAACGCAGCUCACCAAGCACACACGGGGGGCACACACAGCCCUGCCUACAGGACGGUACCCCCACACCUCACCCUCUUCAAGAAGCCCCGCGGAGCACGAGGCUCCCGCCAACGCCUGAGUUACAGGCUGGCCCGCCCGGCAGCAGCAGAACAUCACCAACGCCUCGUCUUUGGAAGCCCAGGGAGCUACCUCGACCCACCGAGCGGGGAGGUCACCCCACACACAAACAGCACCUCAACCUGCACCCUCUGACGGGACAGGGAGGGGUCACUCCCACCAGCUGGAUGGCUAAAGCAGCCGGCUGCAACGCUGCAGCCUCCCCACACCUGAUUACAGGGCGGGCGGGCUGCUCAGGGACAGAGGGCUCCAAAGCUUGGGACACACACCCCGAGUACGGGGCUGUCACCGCCGCCAGCAGGACAGGCAGCCACGCAAGGACAGGCCCAAGCCCUGGCUACAGGGAGGCCUUGGCCACAGAACUACCGUGUGGCUCUGAUCUGCACUAAGGAAAAUAGUAGGAAGACAGGACACUCGCUGCGCUCGCAGGACUAAGAGGGAACACCCCUUUUGCGGCAUGCACCAAAGUCCUCCAUUCCCCCCUGGGAAGUCAAAGCUAAGCUGCAGCCAUCUUUGUGGAGGCCUAAAGGGAAAGCACAGCCGCUCAACCACUCCACAAACACAAUCAAGGAAAGGAAGGGGAACACGCACACACAGGCACAACUUUCCAGAAGGGAAGGACAACGCAGCACAGCCAACACCUGGGAAUAAACCCACAACCACGGGCAACAGACAAGAGCCUGUGACCUGUCCCUAGGCUGCACGGAGGCCACGGACCUCAACGUGCCAAGGGGCUUCUCAGAUAAAGCCA